GUCUCGGUAGCUCAGUUGGAUAGAGCAUUCGUUUCCUAAACGAUGUGCCGUGGGUUCGAGUCCCGCUCGGGGCA
Molecule: transfer RNA, 74 nt
Filed under: Brochothrix thermosphacta
Lineage: Bacteria; Bacillati; Bacillota; Bacilli; Caryophanales; Listeriaceae
Also listed under: 2 other names
Rfam family: tRNA
About the family: Transfer RNA (tRNA) molecules are approximately 80 nucleotides in length. Their secondary structure includes four short double-helical elements and three loops (D, anti-codon, and T loops).
Source: Rfam by way of RNAcentral